Cebus imitator (Panamanian white-faced capuchin) is the source of this 1538-nucleotide long non-coding RNA. RefSeq lists it as uncharacterized. The record is from RefSeq and is a predicted model, not a curated record. The transcript is spliced from 2 exons. NCBI's taxonomy places the organism in Eukaryota, Metazoa, Chordata, Mammalia, Primates, Cebidae.
AAUUGCCUGAACCCAGGACGCGGAGGUUGCGGUGAGCCGAGAUUGCGCCAUUGCACUCCAGCCUGGGUAACGAGCAAAACUCCGUCCCAAAAAAAACAAAAAAACAAAAAAACUCCAAAGCAGUAAAUUACAUUAUGGGGUGACUUAUGUGAAGAAUAAAGUUUGUAAAACUAGUAAUAACAGGAGACCUUAAAAGAAAAACAGAUAUGUAAAAUUGGUAAAUAUAUAAGUCAUUGUUUUAAGAUGAAAAAAGGAAAUAUAUGGACCAUGCUAUAUAAAACAAGACUAAGAAAACAGUUAAGGUAAAUAUAGAUUACAGAAGACAGAAUGAAUAAUAAUAAAUACAAAGGAUUUAAAUCCUCCCCAUUAAGGCAAAGCAACUGGUUUAAGAAAACAGAAUAAUGCACAAGUUAGGAACUGAAGGUAAGUCAAAGGUUAUCUGCAGAAAUUAAGGAUUUAAUUGACAUUUAAUGAAUUUAAGAAAAAAAUGCAAUAAAGGCAAUCAAUACAUAAUUUUUAAAGGUAUAUAUAAAAUAUGUAUUAUAACCGCAUAUCAAUAACUGCACAAAACAAAGCAUAAGGCAAAAAAUAUUAAAAACCAAAGUAAAAUGGAUAGAAAUGUAUAGGUUGAAUAGACAAAAAGUGUAGGUAGAAACAAGAUAAAAUAUUCAGAAGCUAGAAAAGAAAGUUUGUUUAAAUGUUCAUCAGUUUGAAUUUAAAAAGACUGGCCAUAUACUAGGCUCAAAGAAACUCCAUGAAACAACCAUUCAAAAUUAAUUCAUCACAAUAAAAUAUAUUUAAGAAAAUUCAAAGGAGUUCCCUGGAAGAUGCAGACUCUUGGGUCCCAUCCCAAACUACUGAAUCAGAUCUGUGUUAACAGUACCCCUGGGUGAUUCACAUGUACACUAAUGUUUGAAAAGCACUCACUGUCCUAAGAAAUUAGAUCAGAGAGAAAAAUAUAUAACCAACAACUUAGAAAGUAACAAAAAUAGAGAAGAGGCUAUAUAAACUGUAGCAUUUCUAUACCAUGGAAAUUAUAUAGUGACUUAAAAAGACUAUGGUCUGGGUGUGGUGACUCAUGCCUCUAAUCCCAGCAUUUUGGAAGAGUGAAGUGGGAGGAUCUCUUGAGGCCAGGAGUUUGACAUCAGCCUGGACAAAACAGCAAGAACCCCAUUUCUACAGAGUUUAAAAAAUUAGCUGGGCAUGGUAGCACUUGCCUGUAUUCCUAGCUACUAGGGAGGCUGAGGGAGGAGGAUUGCUUGAGCCUAGUAGGUUGAGACUAUAGUGAGUCAUGAUCAUGCCACUGCACUAGCCUGGGUGACAAAAUGAGACCCUGUCCCCACAGCAAAAAAGAAGACUAUGUAAAAAUAUAAAGUUUAAAAUUUUGUGAAAUUAAAAUGAAUCUACAGAAUAUUCUUCCAAUAUGUGGGGGAAAAGACAUAUUAAUAAGACAGAUAUGAAAAGCUGCAUAUGGUGGGGAAAUUAUAAUUAAUGUUUUUAAAAUAUAAAUUAUUUUCAAUAAACUUUAAAAAUGUAAA